Molecule: non-coding RNA, 88 nt
Organism: Hordeum vulgare subsp. vulgare (domesticated barley)
Lineage: Eukaryota; Viridiplantae; Streptophyta; Magnoliopsida; Poales; Poaceae
Source: Rfam
GCUGGCAAAUGAUGAUCCGAUAUCCUACACACUCAAUGGAAAAUUCCAUGUGUGGACUAAUAAUCUCAUCUCAUUAUCUGAUGCCUUG